GAAAAAUUUCACGAGCUAGUUCUAAGAAACAAGCAUAGCUGAGAGGAACUUAACACAUGAAAGGCAGAUUGCUCAUGCAGAACUACAAGUUUUCCCCACAAAAUUCUUAAGGGAUAUAUAUGGUUAGCGUUAAUGGAUAUACAAAGGAACCCAGCAAAUGGAAAACAUAAGAGGUAGAAUUUAAUUAUCGGUCUUGGUUUAAUUCUUAAUAGAUACAGGCUAGGUCCUAGAUAAUAUCACAGUUCAGGACCAUCAAGGACAAAUGCUGCCCGAGGCGAGGACUCUUUCAAAAAUUACAACAUGGGGAAAGUGUGGUAAGUCCCAGCGCCCAUAGAUUCUUCGGUGAUUGAGGAUUCUGUGCCUCGAGUUCACCCAGGCUUGAAGAUCUGUGGAAACAAAUCACAGCACACAUUUGGUCAGAAAUUGCUUAAUCCCAUGUCUUGAGAUUCUGGAAGGGACUCCUCCUUUCAGGUGUUUUUGCACUACACAAGGCACAUCUCACCAAAAUUACAACGAUAAAACACUGCACUAAAUAAGAAAAAAUGGACUCCAACACUGAUGAUUGACAAUGUGAUGUCACUGAUUGCUACUUGUGCCACCCCUCCUCCAUCUUCCCUUUUUCUCUCCUUUUCUUUCCCCAGCCUUCUUUCUGGGUGUAAUUUUCUUCACCCAACCUAACAAAUUCUUUAAAACUAAAAAGGAAGCCUUCUGGAAUCUCUUACCUCUCUGUACUUGUAUGAUAAAGGCUUGAAAGCUUUGAAGAAACAUCAGAACUAUAAUUUGUAAUACCAAGCCAUAUUCUUCAUCAGCAAUCAGUUAUCUAGAUAUUCCAGUUCUUCUCAUGUUAUACUAACAGUGCAGAACUAUAAUUAAACAGAGGCAUCUCACUGACCCAGCUGGAUAUCAGAAAAAUAGGAUAGCCAUAGCAGAAAAGAAAAGAUAGGGUUACUUAAGGGAGGAAAGAAGAGAAUAGCAGGCCUUUAACUUCUUGUACGCAUGUAGGACAGAUUUCAACGAGUUUCUACAUCUGAAGUUCAAGCCAUCAUCACCGGUUAACUGAUACAAGUCAAGAGUCGGAAAAACACAAGAAAAUUAGACAAACAGGCUUCUAACUAUUAAAAUCUGCUCCACAAGACUAUACCUCAUUUGUGUUGAUAGGCAAUUCAAGUUGAAUUUGUGUUGAUAGGCAACUCAAGUUGUAAAUUGGCUCACCGUUGUUGAAAAAGGAGUCAAAUGGGCUCAGUUAAAGAUUGUCACAUAUUUAGCUCCACCUUGCAGAUCUAAUAAAAUCGCAUUUCAAGUGGUAGUGGUGGCCAUUUCAAGAACAGAAGAACAAAGUUGAGGCAUAAGUGACUGCAUGACAUGCAUACAACAGAUAAUUAUUACUCUUACAAUAAUUCUUCCAUCAGAACAAAACUUCCUUAAAAUUUUCUUGCAACAAAAAAGGAUUGCGACCCUAAGGCCUGUCAAUCACAUGGAAACAAGGAACAGUUCAAACUCCACAAUUAUUUGCUUCUGCAAUACAUGUUACUCAAGACUCAGGUAUGGGUGCUGGAUACACAUCCAUGUCCAGUAUGGGUACGUCCAAUUUUUUCAUUCCUCAUAGUUAGCAGAUCCUCUAGGCUCUAGCCAUGCCCUUUGCAAGUGUUCAAUAUGUGUCUGACAAAAGCUCAUCAAAGUAAGAGGAGUUGAAGCAACAAAACCAUACAACAGGUGUUUCAAGAUAUUUCUGAUGUACAAGUAUUUGGUUCCUCUACAGAAACUUCCAAGACACGACUAUAUCAAUAGGUUCUCUAAAUUCAAGCUCUAGUACACAUUGAGAUUGUUGCCCCAAAUCAUGUCACUAAAAACCACACCACGAAGAGAAGAUAUAAAAGACAAUCAAUACACAUUUUGGUAAAAGCUAAACAUUGUCACUUAUUUAGUGACGCCUAAAAUAGAGUUCUACUCCGUUCUAAUUGUAGAUCGAAAUUAGAUUUGUUGGAGCAUUAAAGACCUCCCGAUACUUGCUCGAUAAUUUGUACCCGUCAGGUCACUGCACAUGACCAGACACUAAGCUUCCACCUUGAAACUAUUACCAAUGACAAAGCUGAGUGCUCAACAUCUGUGACAAUACUUUGCACAGAUUAGCAAGCACAAUAUCCUUUGUCAGAAAAUGAUGUUAGACGAUCAAAAUCCAUGGUGAAUUUGUAACUAGUUCAUGCAUAAAGGUCCUCCCAAUAGUGCCCAAGUUCACUUACAAUUGUUUCUAACAACGCUCUGCAGGUUCUCUUUCAUCAAGCCCAUGGAAAUCUCUGCAAUGCCAUUUCCUUCAAUCACUUAGUGCACAAGAUCUCAGAUCUAACUCAACAUUUGUGUUACAUCCAAAUCCACCAUCCAAUACUACAUCUAGGUCAGUAUGUAAAUACUAAGGCACUUGUGACUUCCUGCUUACCAAUCUAAGCAUCAAUUGUCCAAUCUAGCAUCAUAGGGGGCAUUCAUACUUUAAUAAAACAGUUUUAUAUCUUCAUCAGUUGCAGUGCCAUAAACAAAAAACCUUGCCAUCACAGAAAUUAUGUAACAUUUGCAAUAAUGUGAAUAGGAUUUAUUUUCAACCUUUACUAGUAAAUUGCAUCUAAUCCACAUAUUUGCAUGAAUUUGACUAAAUCGCUACAUCACUUAAUACUUCCCAUGAAUUUUGAUCAUCAGUAUUUAAAGCAAAAAAAGCUUACUUCUGAUUUAUUGUUAUUAAAGUACUUUUAAAAGAUAAUUAAUAUAUGCUUUCUAUUAUAGAAUUUUGAUAAUCUAAUAAGUACAAAUUAU
RNAcentral lists this unclassified non-coding RNA (2802 nucleotides) under Hevea brasiliensis (rubber tree). Lineage: Eukaryota; Viridiplantae; Streptophyta; Magnoliopsida; Malpighiales; Euphorbiaceae. The record is from RNAcentral.